This 1047-nucleotide long non-coding RNA is filed under the name Salmo salar (Atlantic salmon). RNAcentral describes it as "lncRNA (ENSSSAG00000099484.1)". Lineage: Eukaryota; Metazoa; Chordata; Actinopteri; Salmoniformes; Salmonidae. The record is from RNAcentral.
GUCUUGUAUGAAAAUAUUUUACAUCUGGGAUAUUUUCGUGGACCCAAGUUUCAGUGACACAUCCAAUGUCUGCAUUUACUUUAUUGAAGAAGCAGUUUCCAUUUAUCCACUUUAUCAGUGAGCUUGAAUUACAAACAAGCACAUUCGGAGACUGGGGCAUUUUGGGAUGUAUUUGCGACAUCACAUACUUCAGUUAGAACUCUGCAUUCACGUACCAUCGUCUUUUCUUUUGUGGAAUACAUGCCUUUACCCAGAUGAGGACCCCAUUCCAUUCUUAGCAACGCUGGCCCAUCUCAACUACUGACCUGUCUUUUUGUUUGUCUCUGGUUUGGUCCGACUGCGCUCUGAGCUGUGCCUGGUGACGGAUGCUAAGCACUCGGCCAACAUGACGGCGCUGACUCUCUGCCGCCUCUACAGCCUGUCCAUCCAGGCCUUCUGGACCGUGCUGCAGAGGUUCCCUAAGCAAGAGGCCCACAUCAGCCAUGUGGCCCUCCAGCACCCCACAUCCUGCUCCAACCUUCUCUGUGACAGUCACUAAGUCCUCCGUCUGUCCACACUGCAGCAUCUGGUCUUAGUAUACACAUCUGACACAAUGGAAAACUCUUCUGUGUCGUACAUUUCAAGGUGCAUUUUGUUCUGCACAUUUCCUGAUAAAUUGGUGUCUUAAUCUGUUCACACUGCAGCACACGGCACACACUUUUUUUCAUAGCAGGUGAUGAUGAUGAUGAUUUUGGUUCAAUACUGAACAACUGUCACUGUCCAGGCUUCCUUUUAAUCAGUCCAAAAUCGAAGUUGGUGUAAGGUUGGCAAAAAAAACGUGGUCUUUUACUCCUGUGUAUCUUUUUGGUGUAUAUACGCAUAUAUUGUAUUUGGAUUACUGAUACGGCGUUAUGUGGGUUGCUAACUGGAUUCGUCCUGUGAUUUCUUGUUUUUGAUUAUUAUUUGUGUACCUGUUUGAUAUUUUUGCUGCAUUGUUAGGAGCUAGUAACACAAGCAUUUCGCUAUACCCACGACAACAACUGUGUACGCAACCAAUAAACUUUGAUU